UUUAUGUUUCAAAUAAUUUAUUGCCGUAGGAUGGGACUGCGGCCUAUCAGUUUGUUGGUGAGGUAAUGGCCCACCAAGACUAUUACAGGUACGGGCUCUGAGAGGAGUAGCCCGGAGAUGGGUACUGAGACACGGACCCAGGCCCUAUGGGGCGCAGCAGGCGAGAAAACUUUGCAAUGUGCGAAAGCACGACAAGGUUAAUCCGAGUGGUUUCUGCUAAAGGAACCUUUUGUCAGUCCUAGAAACACUGAUGAAUAAGAGGUGGGCAAGUUCUGGUGUCAGCCGCCGCGGUAAAACCAGCACCUCAAGUGGUCAGGAUGAUUAUUGGGCCUAAAGCAUCCGUAGCCUGCUUUGUAAGUUUUCGGUUAAAUCCAUACGCUCAACGUAUGGGCUGCCGGGAAUACUGCAAAGCUAGGGAGUGGGAGAGGUAGACGGUACUCGGUAGGAAGGGGUAAAAUCCUUUGAUCUAUUGAUGACCACCUGUGGCGAAGGCGGUCUACCAGAACACGUCCGACGGUGAGGGAUGAAAGCUGGGGGAGCAAACCGGAUUAGAUACCC
This 558-nucleotide ribosomal RNA is filed under the name uncultured archaeon. RNAcentral describes it as "bacterial SSU rRNA". It matches the Rfam family "Archaeal small subunit ribosomal RNA", at positions 179 to 738 of the family's 1478-position model. The record is from RNAcentral.